Molecule: ribosomal RNA, 440 nt
Filed under: uncultured bacterium
Lineage: Bacteria
Description: partial 16S ribosomal RNA
Rfam family: Bacterial small subunit ribosomal RNA
Source: RNAcentral
CCUACGGGGCGCAGCAGUAGGGAAUAUUGCUCAAUGGGGGAAACCCUGAAGCAGCAACGCCGCGUGGAGGCUGAAGGUUUUCGGAUUGUAAACUCCUUUUGUUAGAGAAGAUAAUGACGGUAUCUAACGAAUAAGCACCGGCUAACUCCGUGCCAGCAGCCGCGGUAAUACGGAGGGUGCAAGCGUUACUCGGAAUCACUGGGCGUAAAGAGCGCGUAGGCGGGAUAGCAAGUCAGAUGUGAAAUCCUAGGGCUUAACCAUAGAACUGCAUUUGAAACUGUUAUUCUAGAGUAUGGGAGAGGUAGGUGGAAUUCUUGGUGUAGGGGUAAAAUCCGUAGAGAUCAAGAGGAAUACUCAUUGCGAAGGCGACCUGCUAGAACAUAACUGACGCUGAUGCGCGAAAGCGUGGGGAGCAAACAGGAUUAGAUACCCUAGUAGUC